Molecule: ribosomal RNA, 857 nt
Filed under: uncultured bacterium
Lineage: Bacteria
Description: SSU rRNA
Rfam family: Bacterial small subunit ribosomal RNA
Source: RNAcentral
UACGGGAGUGGCAAGCGUUAUCCGGAAUUAUUGGGCGUAAAGCGUCCGCAGGCGGUCUUUUAAGUCUGCUGUUAAAGCGUGGAGCUUAACUCCAUUUCGGCAGUGGAAACUGGAAGACUAGAGUGUGGUAGGGGCAGAGGGAAUUCCCGGUGUAGCGGUGAAAUGCGUAGAUAUCGGGAAGAACACCAGUGGCGAAGGCGCUCUGCUGGGCCAUAACUGACGCUCAUGGACGAAAGCCAGGGGAGCGAAAGGGAUUAGAUACCCCUGUAGUCCUGGCCGUAAACGAUGAACACUAGGUGUCGGGGGAAUCGACCCCCUCGGUGUCGUAGCCAACGCGUUAAGUGUUCCGCCUGGGGAGUACGCACGCAAGUGUGAAACUCAGAGGAAUUGACGGGGGCCCGCACAAGCGGUGGAGUAUGUGGUUUAAUUCGAUGCAACGCGAAGAACCUUACCAGGGUUUGACAUCCUGCGAAUCCCUUGGAAACGAGGGAGUGCCUUCGGGAACGCAGUGACAGGUGGUGCAUGGCUGUCGUCAGCUCGUGUCGUGAGAUGUUGGGUUAAGUCCCGCAACGAGCGCAACCCACGUCGUUAGUUGCCAGCAUUCAGUUGGGCACUCUAGCGAGACCGCCGGUGAUAAACCGGAGGAAGGUGUGGAUGACGUCAAGUCAUCAUGCCCCUUACAUCCUGGGCUACACACGUACUACAAUGCUACGGACAAAGGGCAGCAAACUCGCGAGAGCUAGCAAAUCCCAUAAACCGUGGCUCAGUUCAGAUCGUAGGCUGCAACUCGCCUACGUGAAGGAGGAAUCGCUAGUAAUCGCAGGUCAGCAUACUGCGGUGAAUACGUUCCCGGGCCU